Molecule: ribosomal RNA, 434 nt
Filed under: uncultured bacterium
Lineage: Bacteria
Description: partial 16S ribosomal RNA
Rfam family: Bacterial small subunit ribosomal RNA
Source: RNAcentral
AGCGAACGCUGGCGGCAGGCCUAACACAUGCAAGUCGAACGAACCUUUCGGGGUUAGUGGCGGACGGGUGAGUAACACGUGGGAACGUGCCUUUAGGUUCGGAAUAACUCAGGGAAACUUGUGCUAAUACCGAAUGUGCCCUUCGGGGGAAAGAUUUAUCGCCUUUAGUGCGGCCCGCGUCUGAUUAGCUAGUUGGUUGAGGUAAUGGCUCACCAAGGCGACGAUCAGUAGCUGGUCUGAGAGGAUGAUCAGCCACAUUGGGACUGAGACACGGCCCAAACUCCUACGGGAGGCAGCAGUGGGGAAUCUGGCGCAAUGGGCGAAAGCCUGACGCAUCCAUGCCGCGUGAAAGAUGAAGGUCUUAGGAUUGUAAAAUUCUUUCACCGGGGACGAUAAUGACGGUACCCGGAGAAGAAGCCCCGGCUAACUUCGUG